GCGGGUAGCAAUACCUGGCGGCGACCGGCGGAAGGGUGCGUAACGCGUGAGCAACAUGCCCGUCUCAGGGGGAUAACCGAUGGAAACGUCGCCUAAUACCCCGUAACAACAGUGGCCGCAUGACCACGGUUUGAAAGCUCCGGCGGAGACGGAUUGGCUCGCGUGACAUUAGCUGGUUGGCGGGUAACGCCCACCAAGGCGACGAUGUCUAGGGGUUCUGAGAGGAAGGUCCCCCACACUGGAACUGAGACACGGUCCAGACUCCUACGGGAGGCAGCAGUGAGGAAUAUUGGUCAAUGGGCGGAAGCCUGAACCAGCCAUGCCGCGUGCAGGAAUGAGGCCCUAUUGGGUCGUAAACUGCUUUUGCUGCGGAGCAAUAAGUGCCACGUGUGACACGAUGAGAGUACGCCAGCGAAUAAGCAUCGGCUAACUCGUGCCAGCCGCCGC
Molecule: ribosomal RNA, 447 nt
Filed under: uncultured bacterium
Lineage: Bacteria
Description: bacterial SSU rRNA
Rfam family: Bacterial small subunit ribosomal RNA
Source: RNAcentral